GAUGAACGCUGGCGGCGUGCCUAAUACAUGCAAGUCGAGCGAAUGGACUAAGAGCUUGCUCUUAUGAAGUUAGCGGCGGACGGGUGAGUAACACGUGGGUAACCUGCCCAUAAGACUGUGAUAACUCCGGGAAACCGGGGCUAAUACCGGAUAACAUUUUGAGCCGCCUGGUUCGAAAUUGAAAGGCGGCUUCGGCUGUCACUUAUGGAUGGACCCGCGUCGCAUUAGCUAGUUGGUGAGGUAACGGGUCACCAAGGCAACGAUGCGUAGCCGAACUGAGAGUGUGAUCGGACACAAUGGGACUGAGACACGGCCCAGACUCAUACGGGAGGGAGCAGUAGGGAAUCUUCCGCAAGGGACGAAAGUCUGACGGAGCAACGCCGCGUGAGUGAUGAAGGCUUUCGGGUCGUAAAACUCUGUUGUUAGGGAAGAACAAGUGCUAGUUGAAUAAGCUGGCACCUUGACGGUACCUAACCAGAAAGCCACGGCUAACUACGUGCCAGCCGCCGCGGUAA
Molecule: ribosomal RNA, 515 nt
Filed under: uncultured bacterium
Lineage: Bacteria
Description: partial 16S ribosomal RNA
Rfam family: Bacterial small subunit ribosomal RNA
Source: RNAcentral